UUGAACGCUGGCGGAAUGCUUUACACAUGCAAGUCGAGCGGCAGCGCGGGGGCAACUCUGGCGGCGAGCGGCGAACGGGUGAGUAACACAUCGGAACGCGUCCAGUAAUGGGGGAUAACCUGGCGAAAGCCAGGCUAAUACCGCAUACGUCCUGAGGGAGAAAGCGGGGGACCUGCAAGGGCCUCGCGUUAUUGGAGUGGCCGAUGUCGGAUUAGCUAGUUGGUGGGGUAAAGGCCUACCAAGGCGACGAUCCGUAGCUGGGCUGAGAGGACGACCAGCCACACUGGGACUGAGACACGGCCCAGACUCCUACGGGAGGCAGCAGUGGGGAAUUUUGGACAAUGGGCGCAAGCCUGAUCCAGCCAUUCCGCGUGAGUGAAGAAGGCCUUCGGGUUGUAAAGCUCUUUCGGCCGGGACGAAAUCGCACGGGUCAAUACCCUGUGUGGAUGACGGUACUGGAAGAAGAAGCACCGGCUAACU
RNAcentral lists this ribosomal RNA (480 nucleotides) under uncultured bacterium. RNAcentral describes it as "bacterial SSU rRNA". It matches the Rfam family "Bacterial small subunit ribosomal RNA", at positions 29 to 502 of the family's 1533-position model. The record is from RNAcentral.